Molecule: long non-coding RNA, 611 nt
Organism: Wyeomyia smithii (pitcher-plant mosquito)
Lineage: Eukaryota; Metazoa; Arthropoda; Insecta; Diptera; Culicidae
Exons: 3
Source: RefSeq, a predicted model, not a curated record
UUGAUUCCGGCAUUCGAUUUGUGCGCGCGUUCGGGUGUUUGUGUACAUGGUUGUGAUUGUGAUGUGGCUUGGUGAUGCCGACCGAGAGACGAGCUGGCUGAUGGCUGCGUGAAGUUUCGACAUUGACUUUGAUUGCCGAGUUUGUUGUUUUUAUUGACCUUUUGGAAGAUUGUGGUUAUGAGUAGAAUACGUUUAUCGGCCGAGCAGAGCUUGGGAAGCACGUAAUUAAUUUCAGCUGACGGAUUGAUUGGAAAAGUGAUUCUUACAUCAUUAAACACAAUCUAACGAAGUCGGGUUUUUCAUCAUCCCGCUGGGGGCGAUAUUUACUGGAGGAAGCAAUUUUUCUGCACUGUUACUCGAAAUCGCCACAGGAUUUCCUAAGAGGAUGUGAAACUUUCGUCCGUCUGUGGAUAAAGAAAUAUAAUCUGGAAAAGUUUUCAACUGAGUUGAGAAAGUUGCCUUGCGAUGAUUGGUGGUGCGGUUGUGUAAGCGUAAACCCGCGGCAUAGUGUGAACAAAGGCACCAGGCUGCUUCAGUGAGCGGGCUGGCAUAAAUGGGGUCGCUUGGUAAGUUAUGAUUAUGUAAUCAAUAAUGCGCGAACAGAAGGAGUU